GUGGGGAAUAUUGGGCAAUGGGCGAAAGCCUGACCCAGCAACGCCGCGUGAGGGAAGAAGGCCUUCGGGUUGUAAACCUCUGUCCUUGGUGACGAAAAAAAUGACGGUAGCCAAGGAGGAAGCCCCGGCUAACUACGUGCCAGCAGCCGCGGUAAUACGUAGGGGGCGAGCGUUGUCCGGAAUUACUGGGCGUAAAGGGUGCGUAGGUGGCCUUUUAAGUUGGAUGUGAAAUACCCGGGCUGAACUUGGGGGGUGCAUCUAAUACUGGAGGGCUAGAGUGCAGGAGAGGGAAGCGGAAUUCCUAGUGUAGCGGUGAAAUGCGUAGAUAUUAGGAGGAACACCAGUGGCGAAGGCGGCUUUCUGGACUGUAACUGACACUGAGGCACGAAAGCGUGGGGAGCAAACAGGAUUAGAAACCCGGGUAGUCC
Molecule: ribosomal RNA, 428 nt
Filed under: uncultured bacterium
Lineage: Bacteria
Description: partial 16S ribosomal RNA
Rfam family: Bacterial small subunit ribosomal RNA
Source: RNAcentral